AACGAACGCUGGCGGCAGGCCUAACACAUGCAAGUCGAGCGAGAACUUCGGUUCUAGCGGCGGACGGGUUAGUAACGCGUGGGAAUAUGCCCUUCACUACGGAAUAGUCCCGGGAAACUGGGUUUAAUACCGUAUACGCCCUUCGGGGGAAAGAUUUAUCGGUGAAGGAUUAGCCCGCGUUGGAUUAGGUAGUUGGUGGGGUAAUGGCCUACCAAGCCGACGAUCCAUAGCUGGUUUGAGAGGAUGAUCAGCAACACUGGGACUGAGACACGGCCCAGACUCCUACGGGAGGCAGCAGUGGGGAAUCUUAGACAAUGGGGGCAACCCUGAUCUAGCCAUGCCGCGUGUGUGAAGAAGGCCUUCGGGUUGUAAAGCACUUUCAGCGAGGAGGAAGGCCAAUAACUUAAUACGUUGUUGGAUUGACGUUACUCGCAGAAGAAGCACCGGCUAACUCCGUGCCAGCCGCCGCAGUAACAC
Molecule: ribosomal RNA, 477 nt
Filed under: uncultured bacterium
Lineage: Bacteria
Description: bacterial SSU rRNA
Rfam family: Bacterial small subunit ribosomal RNA
Source: RNAcentral